Molecule: long non-coding RNA, 3387 nt
Organism: Dromaius novaehollandiae (emu)
Lineage: Eukaryota; Metazoa; Chordata; Aves; Casuariiformes; Dromaiidae
Exons: 4
Source: RefSeq, a predicted model, not a curated record
UUGUGUGGGUUUAUUGUACUGUAAAUUGUGCAGCCUCCAUAUAUUGCCUUCCAAAAAAACUUCAAGUGUCUCCUGGUAGCAGGAGGGAAGCCUGUGGGGUCCUUAUUCAAGAAACUGUGAGAUGGUCAUCCAAGAGAAAGAUUUGGUGAUAGUCACCUUGCAAAGACAUCAUCUGAAGACUGCAGCUGUAUGACAAGAGAGAGAGUUGAACAUUUACCAUGACUCAAGAUUUACAUUGUGGUGAACUGGAUGAAGCCAAUUUCUUAAGUCUGAUGCCUGCCUCAGAACUUACUUUUGCAAUGGUUUGUAUCUCCAGAGAUUUAUAGAAGAAUUCAUAAAUUGGCAUCACUGGUAUGUAAGAAAUGUGAAGCAGCUUCUGCUCCCAUUGUUCCCUGACUGUGAACCUGCCACUGGCUGAAAGAGUUUGCUUAAAAUACCAAACUUGCAGUACAGCUCCAGUGUGAUAUGAAGCUGACCCUUCCCUGUUUUGGGGGCUCCUUAGAAUGCAAUAUACAGCUUGAUAAGUAUGAAUUGUCAUCUCUUUAGGUCAUCUGUUUCUACAUCCUCUCAUUCUCCUGCCCUGGCAUUGCAGCCUAAGGAGACAGGAGAUACUGAUUAAGUAACUCAAAGGAAAUGAUUGUAACCAAAUGCUCUGCUGAGUGCACCCUCGAAGAGCUCCAAAAUCAUAAUAAGUGAACUGGUGCACUUGUUGUCAGGAGCAGCAUAUUCAUCCAAUAGUGACCUGUCAAAUUGACUUAUUAGCAUGGCUGAUAGUACUCCAGCAUUUUUAGCGCUAGAGAAUAGCAGGGAGCAUCACAUGUGCUUUUGAAUAUGUUAUGAAGAGUAUCAGAAAAAAUGCAUUAUUUGUACUUUCACAGAAGAUUUGUAGAAAGGCAAGAAAUUGAAUCCAGAUUGCCAGAUUACUUAUGCAGGGUCUUAUGCACAAGACUAGCCUCCCUUUUGAAUCCUGACGUUCUGGUCUUUUUCUGUUUGACAGUCCUUUCCCAUGUUCUUCUUUGUCUUUUGGAUGCACUGAGUUGCUCAUGUGAGCUAAAAUCAGAACAAACAAGAUUUUGUCAGAUACGACUUUUUAAAACUCUGUUGCAUACAUAUAAUAUCACACAGGUAGAAAGUAAAUAUGUACUCCAUUUUAGUAGUAGACAAAUAUGGGAAUGCGCAUGGGAAACUCACUUGUGGAAGAAGAACAGCUCACUCAGAAUGAAUCCAACCAAGACCAAAAGAAUGCUAGCUGUGGGAAAUUCCCAAGAUACAUACUAUCCACCGCUGUUGUAUCUGAGUGCCUUCCAUGCACAAUUAAUAACAGCAUCUUUUGUACAUUUCUCCCUCAUUCAUCAACUAUCGCAGCAAUGGGGAGAAAGAGAGGUAAAUGCAGUCUUUUUUGGAAGAAUUAAAGGGAGAGCCAGUGCUGUGCCAAUCGUUUAUGAUGAAAAUGUGUUCUCAAAGAAGAAAGCUUUGAAGUAUUUUCUAAAGAUAUUUAAGAUUUGGAUUUACCUGAUCUUUUCUCACAGUUUGCCCCAUAGAUCUGAUCUCUUCAACUAAGAAAGCUCUGUCCCCAUAUCUCAGAUGUUUCAUGACUUGUCUUGUGUCAAAAAAGAUACAUUUGUCAAAAUGAUUCCUAGAUAUAUAUUCACUUUAUGCUCUACAUGAUUGUAGGCUGAUUUGUUAAGACAUUAAAAGAUUAGGACAAAAGCCUUAAGUUGGCACUGGAAGCCACUGGACAGUAACUUGGGACCAGUGGACAGUCCUGAGUAUCAUAGACUGAAAUGGGAGAAAUACCCAUUUCAUACACAAUGAAAGAAAAUAAUCCAGCCUGGAUGCAACAAACAUCAGAUUUCCAUGGCCAGGUAGACAGGAUGUUGUUUUCUUGCAUUCCAAUGAUGAAAGAAGACUUGCUUGGGAAUUGAAGAUACCUGUUCAUCCAAAGGCUUUACUCCACCUGGAUGUUACACAUUUUCAAAAUGAGGCAGAAGCAGCCCUUUGGACAGUUGGGAAAUGUUUUCCCAAUCUGGCUGGCACCAGCUGGCUGGCACAGUCAAGAAUUUAAUUGAGUAACUCCAAGAAUUAAGAGGAAUCUGAGCACAUUGUAGGGAGUCCAUGGGACCAGGAAGGAGCCAAAUCUAUUUCGUCUAUGAAGGUUCCAGGGAGCAGGGAUGUAGCCUGAUUUACGAGGAGGCAUGAACUCUCCACAGGAGAAUGUAAAGGGAAGACCCUCAGGGGAACCUUUGAUGAGAGAAAAUAAUCUAGACAUAAAUAAAGACUUGAAUGGAUUUGUCCCUUCAUUAUUUUGGAGCCUGAUCCAAAGCCUCGUUAAGUCAAUAGAGGAACUCCAGCUGGGAUUUAGGUGAAGAAUUGAGGGUGCAAAUUACACACAACUCAUGUCACAAAGGAAAACUUCUGUGUUAUAGGGAAAUAUGCUUGUUAAAAUACUGAGCUGACAUUGAGAAGCGUUCAGCUAUUACAGGAUAUUCUUUCACUGAAUUACUUCUUGCUGUCCAAUAAAAUAAAAUAUAGGAAACCCUUCAGUGUUUCAUCAAAUUCUUGCUCAUUUCAAAGAGUACCAACAUUUCUGUGUCUGGCUCACAUAUUAAAAAGUUUGCCUGCAUAUUAAGUUACAUAUUUUUUUUUGUCAUAGGCUUAGCUUCAGAUCUUUCUAUGACUUUUACUAGGGGCUAUUUUUGAAGGAUUCAAGUCUGUUUUGCCAGUAUAACCUUCAAUUUCUAAUGAGUGUUAUUUCAAAAGAGAAUUUUCUUUUGGUAGGUAAGAAAAAAUAAAGUUAUCCUGAAAUUUAAUAAACAUUAUUUACUCUAUAGCUACUAAUAAAUCCUAUCAUACAUCCUGCUUUCCAAAAUGCUACAGGUUAUAAUCUCUUCCUAUCUGGUACCCAGAAGCUAAAGAAAUAUUGAAUUAUUUCACUUAGUGGAAUCUUAGACUUUUCUUACUCUAGCUUUUUAUUUUUCAUUUGUACAAUGAGGUGACAUUCUUACUAUCACAAAUUCUAGCACAGUUUUUAAAAGAUAUUGUAAUUUUACUUCCUUUUCAGUCAAACAUUCUUCUUCCACUAUUAUGAUCAUAUUUAAUCACAAAACUCGUACAGAUGAUUCAUUAACCCUUCAUCUCCCAUUUCUCCAAGGCCCAGUCCAAGCCCAAGUAGUUAGUGCAAAGGCUUUCCUUGGACAUUAGGAGAUUUUAGACGAGGAACAAAGCAUGCUGCAAAUUCACAUACAUAUAAAGUGUGUGUGUGUGUGUAUAAAUCACUUGUAAACAACUUUAAGUUUCUAAGUAAAUGCACACUGUUAUAAUAAUAUGUUCCUAUUAAUAUAUGUAUAUAUGUAUAUACUGCACUAGCCCAUUAACACCAAUAGGCCU